CCCGGUGGCUCAGCGGCUAGAGCACGCGAUCAAGUUGACCCCACAAGGUCUCUUUCCGUGAAGCUGUUAACCGCGGGAUCAUGGGUUCAAAUCCCAUCCGGGA
RNAcentral lists this transfer RNA (103 nucleotides) under archaeon. RNAcentral's name for it is "tRNA-OTHER". The record is from RNAcentral.